Molecule: ribosomal RNA, 1461 nt
Filed under: Salmonella enterica
Lineage: Bacteria; Pseudomonadati; Pseudomonadota; Gammaproteobacteria; Enterobacterales; Enterobacteriaceae
Description: partial 23S ribosomal RNA
Rfam family: Bacterial large subunit ribosomal RNA
Source: RNAcentral
GUUGUCCCGGUUUAAGCGUGUAGGCUGGUUUUCCAGGCAAAUCCGGAAAAUCAAGGCUGAGGCGUGACGACGAGGCACUACGGUGCUGAAGCAACAAAUGCCCUGCUUCCAGGAAAAGCCUCUAAGCAUCAGGUAACACGAAAUCGUACCCCAAACCGACACAGGUGGUCAGGUAGAGAAUACCAAGGCGCUUGAGAGAACUCGGGUGAAGGAACUAGGCAAAAUGGUGCCGUAACUUCGGGAGAAGGCACGCUGACAUGUAGGUGAAGUGAUUUACUCAUGGAGCUGAAGUCAGUCGAAGAUACCAGCUGGCUGCAACUGUUUAUUAAAAACACAGCACUGUGCAAACACGAAAGUGGACGUAUACGGUGUGACGCCUGCCCGGUGCCGGAAGGUUAAUUGAUGGGGUCAGCGCAAGCGAAGCUCCUGAUCGAAGCCCCGGUAAACGGCGGCCGUAACUAUAACGGUCCUAAGGUAGCGAAAUUCCUUGUCGGGUAAGUUCCGACCUGCACGAAUGGCGUAAUGAUGGCCAGGCUGUCUCCACCCGAGACUCAGUGAAAUUGAACUCGCUGUGAAGAUGCAGUGUACCCGCGGCAAGACGGAAAGACCCCGUGAACCUUUACUAUAGCUUGACACUGAACAUUGAGCCUUGAUGUGUAGGAUAGGUGGGAGGCUUUGAAGUGUGGACGCCAGUCUGCAUGGAGCCGACCUUGAAAUACCACCCUUUAAUGUUUGAUGUUCUAACGUGGACCCGUGAUCCGGGUUGCGGACAGUGUCUGGUGGGUAGUUUGACUGGGGCGGUCUCCUCCUAAAGAGUAACGGAGGAGCACGAAGGUUGGCUAAUCCUGGUCGGACAUCAGGAGGUUAGUGCAAUGGCAUAAGCCAGCUUGACUGCGAGCGUGACGGCGCGAGCAGGUGCGAAAGCAGGUCAUAGUGAUCCGGUGGUUCUGAAUGGAAGGGCCAUCGCUCAACGGAUAAAAGGUACUCCGGGGAUAACAGGCUGAUACCGCCCAAGAGUUCAUAUCGACGGCGGUGUUUGGCACCUCGAUGUCGGCUCAUCACAUCCUGGGGCUGAAGUAGGUCCCAAGGGUAUGGCUGUUCGCCAUUUAAAGUGGUACGCGAGCUGGGUUUAGAACGUCGUGAGACAGUUCGGUCCCUAUCUGCCGUGGGCGCUGGAGAACUGAGGGGGGCUGCUCCUAGUACGAGAGGACCGGAGUGGACGCAUCACUGGUGUUCGGGUUGUCAUGCCAAUGGCACUGCCCGGUAGCUAAAUGCGGAAGAGAUAAGUGCUGAAAGCAUCUAAGCACGAAACUUGCCCCGAGAUGAGUUCUCCCUGAGACUUUAGGUCUCCUGAAGGAACGUUGAAGACGACGACGUUGAUAGGCCGGGUGUGUAAGCGCAGCGAUGCGUUGAGCUAACCGGUACUAAUGAACCGUGAGGCUUAACCUUACAACGCCGAAG